GUGUUGGAACACAGAUUCCCGUAUGAUCAGCGAAGUUAAGCAAUGUUGAGUAUGAACAGUACCUAGAUGGGUAACCACUUGGGAAUACCAGUUGCUGUAAG
This is a non-coding RNA of Acanthosepion pharaonis, 101 nucleotides long. The record is from the annotation of a GenBank genome assembly. NCBI's taxonomy places the organism in Eukaryota, Metazoa, Mollusca, Cephalopoda, Sepiida, Sepiidae.